UUAAGCGACUAAGCGUACACGGUGGAUGCCCUGGCAGUCAGAGGCGAUGAAGGACGUGCUAAUCUGCGAUAAGCGUCGGUAAGGUGAUAUGAACCGUUAUAACCGGCGAUUUCCGAAUGGGGAAACCCAGUGUGAUUCGUCACACUAUCAUUAACUGAAUCCAUAGGUUAAUGAGGCGAACCGGGGGAACUGAAACAUCUAAGUACCCCGAGGAAAAGAAAUCAACCGAGAUUCCCCCAGUAGCGGCGAGCGAACGGGGAGCAGCCCAGAGCCUGAAUCAGUGUGUGUGUUAGUGGAAGCGUCUGGAAAGGCGCGCGAUACAGGGUGACAGCCCCGUACACAAAAAUGCACAUGCUGUGAGCUCGAUGAGUAGGGCGGGACACGUGGUAUCCUGUCUGAAUAUGGGGGGACCAUCCUCCAAGGCUAAAUACUCCUGACUGACCGAUAGUGAACCAGUACCGUGAGGGAAAGGCGAAAAGAACCCCGGCGAGGGGAGUGAAAAAGAACCUGAAACCGUGUACGUACAAGCAGUGGGAGCACGCUUAGGCGUGUGACUGCGUACCUUUUGUAUAAUGGGUCAGCGACUUAUAUUCUGUAGCAAGGUUAACCGAAUAGGGGAGCCGAAGGGAAACCGAGUCUUAACUGGGCGUUAAGUUGCAGGGUAUAGACCCGAAACCCGGUGAUCUAGCCAUGGGCAGGUUGAAGGUUGGGUAACACUAACUGGAGGACCGAACCGACUAAUGUUGAAAAAUUAGCGGAUGACUUGUGGCUGGGGGUGAAAGGCCAAUCAAACCGGGAGAUAGCUGGUUCUCCCCGAAAGCUAUUUAGGUAGCGCCUCGUGAAUUCAUCUCCGGGGGUAGAGCACUGUUUCGGCAAGGGGGUCAUCCCGACUUACCAACCCGAUGCAAACUGCGAAUACCGGAGAAUGUUAUCACGGGAGACACACGGCGGGUGCUAACGUCCGUCGUGAAGAGGGAAACAACCCAGACCGCCAGCUAAGGUCCCAAAGUCAUGGUUAAGUGGGAAACGAUGUGGGAAGGCCCAGACAGCCAGGAUGUUGGCUUAGAAGCAGCCAUCAUUUAAAGAAAGCGUAAUAGCUCACUGGUCGAGUCGGCCUGCGCGGAAGAUGUAACGGGGCUAAACCAUGCACCGAAGCUGCGGCAGCGACGCUUAUGCGUUGUUGGGUAGGGGAGCGUUCUGUAAGCCUGCGAAGGUGUGCUGUGAGGCAUGCUGGAGGUAUCAGAAGUGCGAAUGCUGACAUAAGUAACGAUAAAGCGGGUGAAAAGCCCGCUCGCCGGAAGACCAAGGGUUCCUGUCCAACGUUAAUCGGGGCAGGGUGAGUCGACCCCUAAGGCGAGGCCGAAAGGCGUAGUCGAUGGGAAACAGGUUAAUAUUCCUGUACUUGGUGUUACUGCGAAGGGGGGACGGAGAAGGCUAUGUUGGCCGGGCGACGGUUGUCCCGGUUUAAGCGUGUAGGCUGGUUUUCCAGGCAAAUCCGGAAAAUCAAGGCUGAGGCGUGAUGACGAGGCACUACGGUGCUGAAGCAACAAAUGCCCUGCUUCCAGGAAAAGCCUCUAAGCAUCAGGUAACAUCAAAUCGUACCCCAAACCGACACAGGUGGUCAGGUAGAGAAUACCAAGGCGCUUGAGAGAACUCGGGUGAAGGAACUAGGCAAAAUGGUGCCGUAACUUCGGGAGAAGGCACGCUGAUAUGUAGGUGAAGUCCCUCGCGGAUGGAGCUGAAAUCAGUCGAAGAUACCAGCUGGCUGCAACUGUUUAUUAAAAACACAGCACUGUGCAAACACGAAAGUGGACGUAUACGGUGUGACGCCUGCCCGGUGCCGGAAGGUUAAUUGAUGGGGUUAGCGCAAGCGAAGCUCUUGAUCGAAGCCCCGGUAAACGGCGGCCGUAACUAUAACGGUCCUAAGGUAGCGAAAUUCCUUGUCGGGUAAGUUCCGACCUGCACGAAUGGCGUAAUGAUGGCCAGGCUGUCUCCACCCGAGACUCAGUGAAAUUGAACUCGCUGUGAAGAUGCAGUGUACCCGCGGCAAGACGGAAAGACCCCGUGAACCUUUACUAUAGCUUGACACUGAACAUUGAGCCUUGAUGUGUAGGAUAGGUGGGAGGCUUUGAAGUGUGGACGCCAGUCUGCAUGGAGCCGACCUUGAAAUACCACCCUUUAAUGUUUGAUGUUCUAACGUUGACCCCUAAUCGGGGUUGCGGACAGUGUCUGGUGGGUAGUUUGACUGGGGCGGUCUCCUCCUAAAGAGUAACGGAGGAGCACGAAGGUUGGCUAAUCCUGGUCGGACAUCAGGAGGUUAGUGCAAUGGCAUAAGCCAGCUUGACUGCGAGCGUGACGGCGCGAGCAGGUGCGAAAGCAGGUCAUAGUGAUCCGGUGGUUCUGAAUGGAAGGGCCAUCGCUCAACGGAUAAAAGGUACUCCGGGGAUAACAGGCUGAUACCGCCCAAGAGUUCAUAUCGACGGCGGUGUUUGGCACCUCGAUGUCGGCUCAUCACAUCCUGGGGCUGAAGUAGGUCCCAAGGGUAUGGCUGUUCGCCAUUUAAAGUGGUACGCGAGCUGGGUUUAGAACGUCGUGAGACAGUUCGGUCCCUAUCUGCCGUGGGCGCUGGAGAACUGAGGGGGGCUGCUCCUAGUACGAGAGGACCGGAGUGGACGCAUCACUGGUGUUCGGGUUGUCAUGCCAAUGGCACUGCCCGGUAGCUAAAUGCGGAAGAGAUAAGUGCUGAAAGCAUCUAAGCACGAAACUUGCCCCGAGAUGAGUUCUCCCUGACUCCUUGAGAGUCCUGAAGGAACGUUGAAGACGACGACGUUGAUAGGCCGGGUGUGUAAGCGCAGCGAUGCGUUGAGCUAACCGGUACUAAUGAACCGUGAGGCUUAACCUU
RNAcentral lists this ribosomal RNA (2902 nucleotides) under food metagenome. RNAcentral describes it as "bacterial LSU rRNA". It matches the Rfam family "Bacterial large subunit ribosomal RNA". The record is from RNAcentral.